This 440-nucleotide ribosomal RNA is filed under the name uncultured bacterium. RNAcentral's name for it is "partial 16S ribosomal RNA". It matches the Rfam family "Bacterial small subunit ribosomal RNA", at positions 339 to 795 of the family's 1533-position model. The record is from RNAcentral.
CUACGGGUUGCAGCAGUAGGGAAUUUUGCGCAAUGGGCGAAAGCCUGACGCAGCUACGCCGCGUGAGUGACGAAGCCCUUCGGGGUGUAAAUCUCUGUCAGUGGGGACGAAAAUUGACUGUACCCACAGAGGAAGCAUCGGCUAACUACGUGCCAGCAGCCGCGGUAAGACGUAGGAUGCAAGCGUUGUCCGGAAUUAUUGGGCGUAAAGAGUUCGUAGGCGGCAUGUCAAGUCUGGUGUUAAAGCCCGGGGCUCAACUCCGGUCCGGCACUGGAUACUGGCAAGCUAGAGUGUAGUAGAGGCGAGGGGAAUUCCCAGUGUAGCGGUGAAAUGCGUAGAUAUUGGGAGGAACACCAGUGGCGUAAGCGCCUCGCUGGGCUAUAACUGACGCUGAGGAACGAAAGCCAGGGGAGCAAAUGGGAUUAGAUACCCCGGUAGUC